UGCACUCACUGCUGUAAGUCUCUCUGGAUAAGAGCGUCUGCUAAAUGACUAAAA
Salmo salar (Atlantic salmon) is the source of this 54-nucleotide non-coding RNA. The record is from Rfam. NCBI's taxonomy places the organism in Eukaryota, Metazoa, Chordata, Actinopteri, Salmoniformes, Salmonidae.